GGACACAUAGCUCAGCGGUAGAGCAACCGGCUGUUAACCGGUUGGUCGCAAGUUCGAUCCUUGCUGUGUCCGCCA
This 75-nucleotide transfer RNA is filed under the name Mycoplasmataceae bacterium. RNAcentral's name for it is "tRNA-Asn". It matches the Rfam family "tRNA". From Rfam's summary of the family: Transfer RNA (tRNA) molecules are approximately 80 nucleotides in length. Their secondary structure includes four short double-helical elements and three loops (D, anti-codon, and T loops). Further hydrogen bonds mediate the characteristic L-shaped molecular structure. tRNAs have two regions of fundamental functional importance: the anti-codon, which is responsible for specific mRNA codon recognition, and the 3' end, to which the tRNAs corresponding amino acid is attached (by aminoacyl-tRNA synthetases). tRNAs cope with the degeneracy of the genetic code in two manners: having more than one tRNA (with a specific anti-codon) for a particular amino acid; and 'wobble' base-pairing, i.e. permitting non-standard base-pairing at the 3rd anti-codon position. The record is from RNAcentral. Lineage: Bacteria; Bacillati; Mycoplasmatota; Mollicutes; Mycoplasmatales; Mycoplasmataceae.